This 505-nucleotide ribosomal RNA is filed under the name Heterixalus betsileo (Betsileo reed frog). RNAcentral describes it as "partial 16S ribosomal RNA". It matches the Rfam family "Bacterial large subunit ribosomal RNA", at positions 1940 to 2607 of the family's 2925-position model. Lineage: Eukaryota; Metazoa; Chordata; Amphibia; Anura; Hyperoliidae. The record is from RNAcentral.
UCAUAACCGUGCGAAGGUAGCAUAAUAAAUUGUUCUCUAAAUAGGGACUAGUAUGAAAGGCACCACGAGGGCUUAACUGUCUCCCUUUUCCAAUUAAUGAAACUGAUCUUCUCGUGAAGAAGCGAGAAUAAAAGUAUAAGACGAGAAGACCCCAUGGAGCUUUAAACUCAUCAUCAUUUACUCUUUAUUACAUCAUUACAUGCAGUAAAAUUGUUACCUGAGAGUUUUCGGCUGGGGUGACCCUGGAGCAAAACAAAUCCUCCAGGAUGAACGGAAUAANAAUCCUAAUCAAAGAGCUACAACUCUAAGAAUCAAAAUAUUGACAUAAUUUGAUCCAAUUACUUGAUCAACGAACCAAGUUACCCUGGGGAUAACAGCGCAAUCCAUUUCAAGAGCCCCUAUCGACAAAUGGGUUUACGACCUCGAUGUUGGAUCGGGGUAUCCCAGUGGCGCAGCCGCUACUAAAGGUUCGUUUGUUCAACGAUUAAUAACCCCACGUGAUCUG